Molecule: non-coding RNA, 75 nt
Organism: Corchorus olitorius
Lineage: Eukaryota; Viridiplantae; Streptophyta; Magnoliopsida; Malvales; Malvaceae
Source: the annotation of a GenBank genome assembly
GAGUUUAGUAUAAUGGUAAAAACAUGUUUUUUUUAAUAAAACGAUAUGUCAUGAGUUCGAAUCUUACUUCACUCA